This 492-nucleotide ribosomal RNA is filed under the name uncultured bacterium. Its description in RNAcentral is "partial 16S ribosomal RNA". It matches the Rfam family "Bacterial small subunit ribosomal RNA", at positions 28 to 507 of the family's 1533-position model. The record is from RNAcentral.
GAUGAACGCUAGCUACAGGCUUAACACAUGCAAGUCGAGGGGAAACGACAUCGAAAGCUUGCUUUUGAUGGGCGUCGACCGGCGCACGGGUGAGUAACGCGUAUCCAACCUGCCCAUCACUUGGGAAUAACCUUGCGAAAGUAAGACUAAUACCCAAUGACAUCCCACGAAGACAUCUGAAUGGGAUUAAAGAUUUAUCGGUGAUGGAUGGGGAUGCGUCUGAUUAGCUUGUUGGCGGGGUAACGGCCCACCAAGGCAACGAUCAGUAGGGGUUCUGAGAGGAAGGUCCCCCACAUUUGAACUGAGACACGGUCCAAACUCCUACGGGAGGCAGCAGUGAGGAAUAUUGGUCAAUGGGCGAGAGCCUGAACCAGCCAAGUAGCGUGCAGGAUGACGGCCCUAUGGGUUGUAAACUGCUUUUAUAAGGGAAUAAAGUGGGUCUCGUGAGACUUUUUGCAUGUACCUUAUGAAUAAGGACCGGCUAAUUCCGUG